Molecule: ribosomal RNA, 497 nt
Filed under: uncultured bacterium
Lineage: Bacteria
Description: partial 16S ribosomal RNA
Rfam family: Bacterial small subunit ribosomal RNA
Source: RNAcentral
GAUGAACGCUGGCGGCGUGCCUAAUACAUGCAAGUCGAGCGAACGGACGAGAAGCUUGCUUCUCUGAUGUUAGCGGCGGACGGGUGAGUAACACGUGGAUAACCUACCUAUAAGACUGGGAUAACUUCGGGAAACCGGAGCUAAUACCGGAUAAUAUUUUGAACCGCAUGGUUAAAAAGUGAAAGACGGUCUUGCUGUCACUUAUAGAUGGAUCCGCGCUGCAUUAGCUAGUUGGUAAGGUAACGGCUUACCAAGGCAACGAUGCAUAGCCGACCUGAGAGGAUGAUCGGCCACACUGGAACUGGGACACGGUCCAGACUCCUACGGGAGGCAGCAGUAGGGAAUCUUCCGCAAUGGGCGAAAGCCUGACGGAGCAACGCCGCGUGAGUGAUGAAGGUCUUCGGAUCGUAAAACUCUGUUAUUAGGGAAGAACAUAUGUGUAAGUAACUGUGCACAUCUUGACGGUACCUAAUCAGAAAGCCACGGCUAACUACGUG